Molecule: long non-coding RNA, 2370 nt
Filed under: Canis lupus familiaris (dog)
Lineage: Eukaryota; Metazoa; Chordata; Mammalia; Carnivora; Canidae
Description: lncRNA (ENSCAFG00000056967.1)
Source: RNAcentral
GGAAGAACACCUGCCUGGAAUUGCAAGGAAAAGAGUUGCAAAAGCCCCCACGUGUGAUAUGCAUGCCUCUAUUUGUAAUGUAAAGUUUGUUAAUAAGAGCCAGCUGUCUCUUACAGAUCCAAAGAGUUCCUGCUCAGAACACGUUUACUAAAAGACCCUCUCAAAGUGACAACCAACCGGGCAAGUAUCCUCAAGCUGCUUUUUGAUGAGAGAAAAGAAGGAAAAAUGGGUUUAAAGACACAUUUUAUAGAACUCCUGGUGAACAACUUCAAGAAGCUUUUCAAUAAAUUUAAGGUAGUACUCAAUAACGGAAAAAUUUAUUUCUACUUAGAAAUUGCUUUCAAGAGCUCAUGAAAAGGCUAAGCUGUUUUUAUGACCUUUAAAAUUCUUCAUUUUCCCUUCAUUUGGACCAUUUCAUUAAAGCAACUUCUAACCAGGUAAUGAUGCAGAUCUCUUUGCUUAUUCAAAAUAUAUACCAAUUAUCUAUUUUUCAGUUUCAUGUAACAGUGUUUAAAGAUCAUUAUUCCUGGAUCUAAAAAUGAAUGCCUUGAAAUUACUUUUUCAAAAUAAAAUGUUACUCUUACUGUGUGUGUGUGUGUGUGUGUGUGCGUGUGUGUGUGUGUGUGUGUGUUAAAAAGCACUUUAGAUAAAGAGUAACUUUUCUUUAUCUGAAAAGACUUGGGAGGCCAGUAAGGAACUUUAUUAUUCCUGAAAGGAUUAAUCCUGUCCACUUAAGCAGCAUUUUACUUAUUUGGAAGUCACAAAUUUUGGAAAUCUAAUGAUUUCCAACCUAUGCAAACUUUUCAGAAUCUUGUGGCUAUAUUGAGCUAUUGCACAGAGUUGAAUAAGAUCCAAAUGCAAAGCAAAAAUGUAUUGUAGCAAAGUUGUUGCCUUAUAUUUAAAGAUUUCUUGCAAAUCAGUAAUGAAGAAAAUCGUGAUCCCAAGAAAAAAAUAGUGAGCAGAAAAUACAAGUAGGGAAUAGAUUUUAUGUAAUGCCAGUUGUCAGGACAUGGAAUUUUAAAAUGUUCCUUUUCUCAGUAGGAAAGGUUGAAUGAGAUAGUGUUGGAGUACCCACUCAUGGAUAAAAAGGAUUUGGAUUCUAGCUUUGAAACCUAUGGUUAGAUCCUUAAUGCAUUCUGAAUCUCAGUAUCUUUAUUUAUAAAAGGAAAAUAGUAUUAGUUCUUACCUCAUAGAGUUCUGUGAGAAUUAAGAAAGAGAAUGAAUUGGCAGCUAAUAAGGAGAUUGCUUUCUUUAUUAUUUAGUCAAAGAAUUAAAUGAUGCUGUUUGCUGUUUGCAUGAUUUUGAGAAAUAAACAUACCAGAUUAUAUGUAGAAAUCCAAACUGAAUCAUCUUGCCAUAUUGGAAAGAGACUUCGCAAUAUGAAUCAACAAGGGAAGUAAUCCUAUAUGUAUAGCCCAUAAUAAAUAAAAAAAAUCAUAACUAUAUGUGCAGUAUUCUUUGAUACAAAUUUGCUAAUUGUAGCAAAAAAUUAAUUCUAAGAGUAUAAAAUUCAGGGAUAAAUCUCUUACAUGCAUAUAAUGGUCUAUAACAGCCAUUAAAAAUAAUCUGAUGAAUUAAAAAAUAAUAUGGUGGAUUGAUAUAAUUACAUGAAACGAUAUUUAUACCAUAUUAUCCAAUACAACAAAAGACUAAUUCACAUAAAAUAGUCCCAUUUUCUAAGAAGUUUUUAAAUAUAUACAUUUUUAAACAUGAAGAAUAUGUUAUAAAAAUUUUAUGUUAUUUCUAGUGAAAUUUAAGUUGAUACAUUAUUUUCUUACAUUUUCUAACUGUUCAAUAAUCAAUGCAUUUGAUUUAUAUAUUUUUGAAUAGUAUAAGAAGUACAGAUGGAAGACGUAUAUUAUAUAGUUUCUGAUUACAAUCACAGCACACUUAGCCAUAUAAAGCAGUACAUAUAAAUACCUAUAUUCAUAGAUCACAUCAUUCAUUGACAAGAGCAGGUAAAUGAAAACUUUUUGAGCUACUAUUUCUGAAUAAGUCCUUAAGUUCUAUUCUGCUGGCCCUAGUAGGGCAAAACUAUUGCAAAAAAAUGGAGACAUUUUGUUCUUGUUGUUUAAAUCUGAGCUGCUAUCUUAGAUCCACUUUUCUUGUUGUGAAAACAAUCUGGGCAUUUCUUGUAUUUUGAAGUGUGAAAAUAACAUUGGUCAAGUUAGAAAGAGUAAUUUUCCUAAGGUUUUCUAACUUAUUUUUUACUCAAAAAACAUAUCAAUGCUGUUACUCUUUCAUUUAUUGGUCCAAGAAAUAUUUAUGGACUAUCUACUGUGUCCCAGGUAUAGACUUGGAGUGGAAGCCUAUGUGUAAAAGAUGGCUAGCGGGUCGCCUGGGUGGCUCAGCAGUGGAGCAUCUGCCUAC